This 462-nucleotide ribosomal RNA is filed under the name uncultured Thiobacillus sp. RNAcentral describes it as "bacterial SSU rRNA". It matches the Rfam family "Bacterial small subunit ribosomal RNA", at positions 917 to 1381 of the family's 1533-position model. The record is from RNAcentral. Lineage: Bacteria; Pseudomonadati; Pseudomonadota; Betaproteobacteria; Nitrosomonadales; Thiobacillaceae.
ACGGGACCGCACAAGCGGUGGAUGAUGUGGAUUAAUUCGAUGCAACGCGAAAACCUUACCUACCCUUGACAUGUCCGGAAUCCUGCAGAGAUGCGGGAGUGCCCGAAAGGGAAUCGGAACACAGGUGCUGCAUGGCUGUCGUCAGCUCGUGUCGUGAGAUGUUGGGUUAAGUCCCGCAACGAGCGCAACCCUUAUCAUUAGUUGCUACGCAAGGGCACUCUAAUGAGACUGCCGGUGACAAACCGGAGGAAGGUGGGGAUGACGUCAAGUCCUCAUGGCCCUUAUGGGUAGGGCUUCACACGUCAUACAAUGGUCGGUACAGAGGGUUGCCAACCCGCGAGGGGGAGCUAAUCCCACAAAGCCGAUCGUAGUCCGGAUCGCAGUCUGCAACUCGACUGCGUGAAGUCGGAAUCGCUAGUAAUCGUGGAUCAGCAUGUCACGGUGAAUACGUUCCCGGGUCUU